UUUUUUUGAAUUUUCGAAUAGGGAUAACUAAAUUGCAGCAGCAGUAAGGUAGGAAACCAGAACUUGUUGUAAUUCACGGGGAGAUCAAAGGAUGAUCUGCGGUGGUGGAGAUGACGGUGGAAUUUGACAACGAUCUUUUAAGCAAUUGUGGGAAUUGCUUUGGGCGGUUGUGGAGGGUUGAUGGAUGGCAGUGGAAGGGCAGCGAGAUGCCAAGAACGCUGCUCUGAUACCAGGUGUUAGAACCCUU
This 247-nucleotide long non-coding RNA is filed under the name Musa acuminata (dwarf banana). RNAcentral's name for it is "long non-coding RNA (MACU_LNC010481)". The record is from RNAcentral. Lineage: Eukaryota; Viridiplantae; Streptophyta; Magnoliopsida; Zingiberales; Musaceae.